Long non-coding RNA from Amphibalanus amphitrite, 610 nucleotides. RefSeq lists it as uncharacterized. The record is from RefSeq and is a predicted model, not a curated record. NCBI's taxonomy places the organism in Eukaryota, Metazoa, Arthropoda, Thecostraca, Balanomorpha, Balanidae. The transcript has 3 exons.
GCGCAGUAGCGACAUUACUUUUGUUCGAUGUCUCUCGGACGACAAAGAUCCUACGCCGUUUGGCCAAUCAUAUUCCAUAAUCGCAGCCGAGCCCCCGUUGACCUAGAACGGGAUUGGCCGGACGACGUACAAUCUUCGUCGUCCGAGAGACACCGAACGAGGGGCACAUCGACUGAAUAUACAUUGCGAUUCAAUAUUCAGUAUUGAUUCAGUAGGUAUUUUAUGACCGUGAUUGCAAUUUGCAUUUGAGCUCAGCAGUCGAGUAAGUUGUGCCAAAAAUACCAGAAGUGUUGCAUGCCCUGGAUGCAGGAAAACAAGAUUGAGAUGAGUGGAUCAAGAUGUAUCUUUCGUGCAGAUGUAUCAAGAUGUGCCUUUCAGGCGCAAGCUCUGGAUGAACUUCUGCGGUGACGUCGGCAUUCUUACAGGAGAACCCAAGAUUCGCUGUACCUGUAUGCAUUUCAAAACUGAAGAAUUGAUAGCAACAAGUAAAUAUUUGAAGUUGCAGCCAAAUGCUGUGCCUUCUCUGCUGCAAGAACUACAUGUCACCAUUGAAGCAAGGACCAGCUCGACUCCUGCAGUAGGACUCCAGCCUCGUCCAGUCGUCGCCGCU